RNAcentral lists this ribosomal RNA (205 nucleotides) under Clostridioides difficile. RNAcentral describes it as "partial 16S ribosomal RNA". It matches the Rfam family "Bacterial small subunit ribosomal RNA", at positions 279 to 501 of the family's 1533-position model. The record is from RNAcentral. Lineage: Bacteria; Bacillati; Bacillota; Clostridia; Peptostreptococcales; Peptostreptococcaceae.
AUCAGUAGCAGACCUGAGAGGGUGAUCGGCCACAUUGGAACUGAGACACGGUCCAAACUCCUACGGGAGGCAGCAGUGGGGCAUAUUGCACAAUGGGCGAAAGCCUGAUGCAGCAACGCCGCGUGAGGGAUGAAGGCCUUCGGGUCGUAAAACUCUGUCCUCAAGGAGGAUAAUGACGGUACUUGAGGAGGAAGCCCCGGCCAAA